This 640-nucleotide ribosomal RNA is filed under the name Salmonella enterica. RNAcentral's name for it is "partial 23S ribosomal RNA". It matches the Rfam family "Bacterial large subunit ribosomal RNA", at positions 525 to 1165 of the family's 2925-position model. Lineage: Bacteria; Pseudomonadati; Pseudomonadota; Gammaproteobacteria; Enterobacterales; Enterobacteriaceae. The record is from RNAcentral.
CCCGGCGAGGGGAGUGAAAAAGAACCUGAAACCGUGUACGUACAAGCAGUGGGAGCACCCUUUGGGGUGUGACUGCGUACCUUUUGUAUAAUGGGUCAGCGACUUAUAUUCUGUAGCAAGGUUAACCGAAUAGGGGAGCCGGAGGGAAACCGAGUCUUAAUUGGGCGUUAAGUUGCAGGGUAUAGACCCGAAACCCGGUGAUCUAGCCAUGGGCAGGUUGAAGGUUGGGUAACACUAACUGGAGGACCGAACCGACUAAUGUUGAAAAAUUAGCGGAUGACCUGUGGCUGGGGGUGAAAGGCCAAUCAAACCGGGAGAUAGCUGGUUCUCCCCGAAAGCUAUUUAGGUAGCGCCUCGUGAAUUCAUCUCCGGGGGUAGAGCACUGUUUCGGCUAGGGGGCCAUCCCGGCUUACCAACCCGAUGCAAACUGCGAAUACCGGAGAAUGUUAUCACGGGAGACACACGGCGGGUGCUAACGUCCGUCGUGAAGAGGGAAACAACCCAGACCGCCAGCUAAGGUCCCAAAGUCAUGGUUAAGUGGGAAACGAUGUGGGAAGGCCCAGACAGCCAGGAUGUUGGCUUAGAAGCAGCCAUCAUUUAAAGAAAGCGUAAUAGCUCACUGGUCGAGUCGGCCUGCGCG